CAAUAGUCUCUUCUUCGCUUGGUUUUUGUGGCGCUUUUCGUUUUUUAUUGCUUUUCUUCAUUUUUCUUGUUCCUUCCAUAUUAUUAUGACUUGCGUAUCAGCUGG
RNAcentral lists this non-coding RNA (105 nucleotides) under Ochromonas sp. CCMP1393. Lineage: Eukaryota; Chrysophyceae; Chromulinales; Chromulinaceae. The record is from RNAcentral.